Molecule: long non-coding RNA, 933 nt
Filed under: Homo sapiens (human)
Lineage: Eukaryota; Metazoa; Chordata; Mammalia; Primates; Hominidae
Description: HSALNT0115015
Source: RNAcentral
CUGGAAUGGCAGUUGUAAGGUGAAUGAAUUGUGCUGACCCCAGCCUGGUCUGGUACAUUUACUGGUUUUCCUCUUUCCUAUAGACACCUUUACCUUGUUUGCUCAAGAAUAUUGUGCAACAGUGGACCUUCAUGGUUUCCAAGCAGAAAAAUGCUGUUUGACCACUGAGCAAAUUCUUCUUGACUGCUUUGGAUUAAGAAUUGCUACUCUGGUGAAAUUAAGCCAAAGUGUCAUUCAGGAAGCAAGAUGUUUCGUUUGAACAGAACAUAAAUCAAAGCUGGAAGUAGGGGCUGCCUAGUCUCCCUGUUCUGAAGCCCUCUUGACUCUGUGAAUUCCAUCACCAAAUCCUUGCUUCCAGACCUCAGGAACAUGGCUUCAACAAGUCUGUCUAUGCCAAACCCAUGCUUCCCAUUGCUUUCAUUCUGAAGCUUCUAGGGCUGUUUCAAGAAUGCAAUGCAAAAUUAAAAUUUCAUGGAAUAUUAAGCAAUUCUUUCUAAUAGAAAGCCAGUAAAAUUGUCAAAUUUCAUUGAUCACCAAGCCAUGUAGAUGACUGGCCAGUUUGAAAGGUCCACACUAUGGUUUGAAUCUUCGUUUCCUCACCAAAAUCCAUGUUCAAACUUAAAACCCAUUGUGGUGAUAUUAAGAGGUGUGUUCUUUGGGAGGUGAUUAAGUCAUCUAUGGCAUUAGCACCUUAUAAAAGGGCUCAGGGAUGAAGGGAGCACCCUCUUGCCUUCCUAUCUCUUCCUCCAUGUAAGGACAUUGCUUUCCUCCUCUGGGGAGGAUGCAGCAACAAGGCGCCAUCUUGAAAGCAGAGAGCAGCCCUCAACAGACACCACUUCUACUGGCUUCUUGAUCUUGGACUCUCAGCCUCCAGAACCAUGAGAAAUAAACUUCUGUUCUUUUAUCAAUUAUCCAGUCUCGGGUACUUUGUUG